CCGGUAAACGGCGGCCGUAACUAUAACGGUCCUAAGGUAGCGAAAUUCCUUGUCGGGUAAGUUCCGACCUGCACGAAUGGCGUAAUGAUGGCCAGGCUGUCUCCACCCGAGACUCAGUGAAAUUGAACUCGCUGUGAAGAUGCAGUGUACCCGCGGCAAGACGGAAAGACCCCGUGAACCUUUACUAUAGCUUGACACUGAACACUGGUCCUUGAUGUGUAGGAUAGGUGGGAGGCUUUGAAGCGUG
Molecule: ribosomal RNA, 247 nt
Filed under: Enterobacter hormaechei
Lineage: Bacteria; Pseudomonadati; Pseudomonadota; Gammaproteobacteria; Enterobacterales; Enterobacteriaceae
Also listed under: 2 other names
Description: partial 23S ribosomal RNA
Rfam family: Bacterial large subunit ribosomal RNA
Source: RNAcentral